Long non-coding RNA from Triticum dicoccoides, 5097 nucleotides. RefSeq lists it as uncharacterized. Lineage: Eukaryota; Viridiplantae; Streptophyta; Magnoliopsida; Poales; Poaceae. The transcript is spliced from 5 exons. The record is from RefSeq and is a predicted model, not a curated record.
UCAAUGAAAAAAGACCAGCGAAAAAAGACCUACGAAAGAAGACCUACGAAAGAAAAAACAACGACAAAAAAUCAGGAGACUCGCACGCAUGAGCGAGGCCUCCAGAUCCCUUCGCCACCGCCCGACGCCGCCAGCCCCGUCCACCUCCCUGGCUCCCGGCGGCGCCCGCUCCCCAUCUCCUCCUGCGAUCCUGGCGUCGCCUCGCCCCACCUUCUCCCUCACUCCCGGCACCACCCCGCCCCCACCUUCUCCCUCACCACUGGCGCCGCCCAACCCCCAACCUUCCUGGAUCCCGGUGCUGCCCCGCCCCCACCUCCUCCCUCGCUCCCGACCGCCCAUGCCGCCUAUGCGCGCCCCUCCCUCAGCCCACCGGCGACCUCCCAUCCUCCACCGUCUACCCCACCGUCGGAUCUCCUCCUCCCCUCUCCUUCUCUCCCUCGCGGAUGCGUCAAACGCACAAAAUUUCCCUCCUCGCGGCCAGAACCCUAGCUCGUGCCUGUGGGGACUGGGCUGGAGGUGCGGCACGGGAUUCGCACCGCAAGAUUCGCCAGCGAUGAGUCCAACAGGUCGUCGAAUCAGGGAACGGGAUGGCGCACCCUGCUGCAGCCGCCGGUCGGGACGAGCGCGGCGGCGAUGAACGUCAGUGCGCCUCCAUUUUCUCGACCUCCAAGGACGCGGGCGCCGGAUUUGUUCUCGCCUGACCAGCCUCGGUAUCCAACUCCCUACAGCCACCACCGGCAUUGACUCCCAAGGCGAGGAUGACGACGCUGCCAAAGAUGACGAGGCCCCGAGCUCGAGCAUGACCACUACGACACACUGCACAAAGGCCCCUGCUUCCUGCCCGCCCUUCCCUUUGCUUGGAAGAUAGCUCUCUCCAGAUGUUGUUCCUGUCCUUCUCCUUGGUUGUUGAGCGCUGCACUCACUCAUGUAUGCAGGUUGAGUCCAAGCACAAGUAAGCACCAUUAUUAGGUGAGAAGACGACGGUGACGCAGAGGAGGAUGAGGACCCGCGCUCCAGCCCGACCACGACUAUGCACCGCACGGUCCCUGCUUCCUGGCUGUCGCCAAUUACCCCCUUCCCUUUACAGUAUUACUCUAUUUGUUUUCAUUGCUUUUCACCUAGUUUUGCACACUUUCUGGCCCUUCAUUUUUUUGUGUGCAGAUGUUCUGAUCGCCUCCAUACGGUUGUUUCCGUCCUCCUGCUCGUGCUGUCUCCAUCCUCCUGCUCAAGUUGUCGCCGUCGCCUCCCAUCCUUCAUGGCCUGCGUGUGUGCGCCCACUGUUGGAGGACGAUGUUGAACAUGAAGCGGAGCCCAGCCGGAGCGGUCUGACGCGGUGGUCGUGGCCAAGGAGCGGUGGUCGAUGCCAUGGAGCAGGGGCCCUCGGUCGCCUGCACAUCGGCUGCAUUCCGAACUAAUGCUUUCUGCAACUGCAAUGUUCCCCUUCACAUUGUAUCUUGUGUAGGCAGAAGGAAUGCAGCUCAGUGACGGCGUCAGCUACAACUGGAUCGAUGUCCUGAAGGCUUUUACUAAGAAGAUGAAGAAUUUUCUAGAAUAGUGUCCAUCAACAAAGAGUCUUACUACUACCGGUUGGAGAGGCUCUAUCCUCAGGUGAUUGAUUACUUAAGAAGUAUACUGAAUUAUGAUAUCCAUCGAUCUAAUUUUGUAUAGGAAGUUUGAAAAACUAAAGAAUUUAUGGUACAUGAUUUGAUUUACUCAUUUAGAUUUUAGUAAAUUGUGACCGGAAGUUUUUUUUCACAAAACUAGUGCACCACCCUUUCUACACACAUCAUUCAUGGAUUGGCAGACUAAAGGUUCUAUUCAACAUCUUUGGUGGAUUGCAUAAAUGGGCUAGAGUAAAAAUAGACCAGAAUUGUUAUAUGUGCUUAGGGAAGUGGGAUUAGAUCAAGAUUUUUUUGACAAAAUGAGAAAUCAAUGGCUCAAGGAGAGUAAGCCCAAAGAGAUAAGUAUUGUUUUCCUUUAGUAGCUUGUUGCAUAAUUCAUUCAAACAUAUUUAGAGUGGAGCAGGAAUAUUCAAACAAGGAAAUGUACACAAUAUCUGUUAGUAUACAUGUGACACUUUCCCGUCUUUCGACUAAUGAUUGCCUCCUGCCAGGUAUCACUAAUAGCACAUUCAUCACAUCAUUUGUGUAGCUCAUUCUGGUGUAAGUCGGGCCAAUUUAGAAAAGAUUUUAAAGCAGAUUCAUACAGGUUAUAGAAGUCAGAGUCAAAUAGUAUAAUAAGUGAUUUGUUUCUGCAUAAUUUCUAAUUGAUCGUCUUCUAAGGAUAAAUGGAACUGCUACCUUUCCUCUCUCCAAUAAACUAUUAGACCCUGCUUGUAACUAUUUUUCAUCUUGGUGUGAUUUAUAAGGGAGGCCAUGCCAUUAGUUUUUUGUUAUUACAUGCUGUGAUGACCCCGAUUCAUUGAUGUAUAGUGUCGUAUGUUGUCAAUUACCUAAUAUGGUAGUAUCACUUCUCCUGGUUUGCCUUGGUCUGAAAUCUGACUUUUGGACUGAUUGUAGUCAAUCUGAAUUAGUGAGGUUCUUUUUUCCAACUGUCCUUGUUCAGUUCUCUACAUUAUCAUGCAUUUCCUUUGGUUUAAAGAUGUCAUGAUGUUCACCAAGGCAGAGAAGAAAUGUUUUAAAGUUGUCCCUUCAAUUGAAACAAGUACGACUUGGUCCUUAGUGCCUAUGCAGACAUGAAAACGGAAGGUCGAGAGGUUUAAAUAUGUCAUGAUGUUUACAAUUGCGGAUAUCCUGCUUCAGGUACUUGCCUGAUAACUCACAAUUUCAACGCAGAAGUUACUAAUCUAUAAGACAUGCCCUCUCUCGUUCAAUGAUGUCCUGAAAUUUUCACACAAAGCUUUGUAAUCUUGCCAAGUCACAAGAGAGCCAAGUAAUCAUGCGAAUUUUCAGAGAACUUCAAGUGGCAUGCCACCAUUUGCAAUGGUUGUGAUGUAGUGAUAAUUAAUAAACUGCAGGCCUUCUAAAUAUUCUAAAGUUGCAUAUCUAAGAGCAUAUUAUAUUUCUCAUAAACAACUGGAGUUAAGCUUCUAUCCUCUUCCUGUCUUGAAGGAAUUAUCUGUUGAGUAAGCUAUAGUCUCUUUGUUUGACUAGCUAGGCUGUGUUACAUACAUGUAUAAGAUGAUGCUUCUGUGGCUAUAACUGGUGCCUGCCGCGCUAAAUAGGAAACACCCUAUUAAUUACCCACCUCAAUUUCAUUAGUGCGUCCGGCCUGUGAAUUUUACCCCAGACUAUAAAUCCCCUCCAAACGAAACCCUAUAGGUGUACUAUGACUCUUAAUAGUGUAUCCUUAUAGAAGUCAGUGUGUUGGGUUAUUUUUUGGUGUGGUUAGAGAACUCGACUCCAUUUGGAAUGAGGGUUUGAGUCUUAUUUUUCCUAAACCUUUGAGAGGCAGAGCCAUGGAAAUAUUUUGUGCUCUCAUUCCUCUGGAUGGAAGCUCUAACUUUUCCUAUUUGUUUCCAAUAAGCUACUUUCUUCGAGAUUGUGCAAUGAACAAUUUUGAUGAUAAGGGAUCGUAGAGCCUCGGGUGACUAGCAUUAAGAUAGGAAGGCUGUUGCCGCCCUUGUCCCUUGCUGCUAGGUUGCCAUGGUGGCGUCAAUCACUGGCUUAUUUAGAACAAUAGUUAGUGGAUUUUGUGAUAAUGGUGAGGGCCGAGAGUGAGAGGGACGGGGUUGGGAUUGGUCUGAUGCAUGCGUGAAAUUAUUUCACCACUUCAGAAAAUAUGGCAAAUUGUAUUUCAUUAGAGAUUGAUUUACAGCAAAUUGCAUGAGCGAGUGGUUCAUGCAUUUUUCAUCAAGUCGUACAUUUUCUUGGUUAUGACAUAAGGGUAAAUGUACUGGUUGGUUGCUUCAAGACUUAAUAACAGACACUAUGACAAUGGCUCAAGAGAUAUUAGAUCUACCUUCUUGGCUGGGGGCAUUAUGGGUGGCGCACGCCUCAGCCCCCUUGAUGGCCGUGGUGGAUGGACAUGAACACGAGGGGGGAUCAGGGCGGAGAGCAGGGUGGUUGGCGGGGGACUCAUCCUUGGCAGUUCAUGGGAAAGUACGGUGUGAAGCAGAGGGGGCGCCAUGGCGAAGUGUGAAAGGAGGAAAAUGGUUCCCGGAAAGCAGGUAGAUCUACACCUUGAGAGAUGGCAUUUUGCGGUACAUUGUUUAGGUAAGGAUAUUGUGCUUUCUUCUGAAAACUCUAGACUGUCGACAAGAUUGAUUUGUGUUCCAUUUUUAAAAAAUUACUUAGAAUCCUGCUUCUGGCAAUACUACUAUGAACUGGCAUACCUCGUGAUCAUGAGAGGGUGACAAGUUCCUGAUCCCCAAGAACACCCUCAUGUGCGGCUGUCGUUCAUCGGACAAGACAUCUCUGACGACUUAGCCACACAGUGAACCUAAGUUUGUCAUGGGAGGAUGUCACCUUGGACUGGAGCAACAGACGUCAAAAAUUUACCAGGAAAAAAGGCUCACAAAUAAGAGUGACCCAAACACAAAUUGUCGUACGUUUGCAAUUAAACUCUUAGUAGCAGCUUGAUUCUUACUAUUGUUACUUUGGUGGUGGGUAUAAUUAGUCAUGUAGUAGCAUCUUAGCUUCAUCUUAUUUCUUAAGAACAUAUCUAGCUAUCAGAUCUUCAAGAGUACACCAUAAAAAUUGAAACGCCUAUCAGCUUCAUAGAAGAAAGUUAGUCUUAUGAUAGAAGAAAGGCCCAUCAGCCCUUACAGUGCCUUAUUGGUUAGCGACUGCUUUUCAGGCUCAACUGAUUACUGACUACGUCCAACAACAUAUGACUGACAUGACCAAGUAGAAGUAAAUUUCGUUGUGAUCAAGAUGGUGCCUUUAUUUUGGAAAACACGAUUGAGAUGGGUAGGCGCAUGGGCAUCUCACCGGAACAAAUAGACAUACUGAUUUCACUCAUACACAGGUUGAUUAUAUUAUACGGUCAACUCACGAAGUAGCCGGAUACCUUCUGCUUGAAGUUUGAAAGCCAUUAGCAUGCUAAAUUAUAUGGAUGUGCUGGUCUUGACAUGUGUGCACGUACAUUGUAAAAUAAACUUGAGUAAUGAUUAAUACCUUGUUUACUCUUUGUUUG